GACGAACGCUGGCGGCGUGCUUAACACAUGCAAGUCGAACGGAAAGGCCUUGCAUUUGUGGGGUGCUCGAGUGGCGAACGCGUGAGUAUCACGUGAGUAGCCUGCCCUUUACUUUGGGAUAACUUCAGUAAACUGGGGCUAAUACCCGAUAUGAGCUCCUUCUGCACGGUGGGGGUUGUAAAGUUUCGGCGGUUGGGGAUGGACUCGUGGCUUAUCAGCUUGUUGGUGGGGUAGUGGCUUACCAAGGCUUUGACGGGUAGCCGGCCUGAGAGGGUGACCGGCCACAUUGGGACUGAGAUGCGACCAAGACUCAUACGGGAGGAAGGAGUGGAGAACAGUGCACGAAGGGCGGAAGGAGGAAGGAGGGUCGCCGGGUGCGAGAUGACGGCCUGCAGGUUAUAAAGCGCGUGAGCCUGUAAAGAAGAGUGAGUGACGGUAAUGGGUAAAGAAGCAACGGCUAACUACGUG
This 468-nucleotide ribosomal RNA is filed under the name uncultured bacterium. RNAcentral's name for it is "partial 16S ribosomal RNA". It matches the Rfam family "Bacterial small subunit ribosomal RNA", at positions 28 to 507 of the family's 1533-position model. The record is from RNAcentral.